AGGACGAACGCUGGCGGCGUGCUUAACACAUGCAAGUGGAGCGACGAACCGGGGCUUGCCCCGGGGCAGAGCCGCGAACGGGUGAGUAACACGUGGGUAACCCACCCCGAUGACCGGGACAACCCGAGGAAACUCGGGCUAAUACCGGAUGUGCUCCUUCAUCACCAGAUGAUUGCGCAAAGAUAGCUUCGGCCUUCGCAUCGGGACGGCCCGCGGCCCAUUAGCUUGUUGGUGGGGUAACGGCCUACCAAGGCGACGAUGGGUAGCUGGUCUGAGAGGACGAUCAGCCACACUGGGACUGAGACACGGCCCAGACUCCUACGGGAGGCAGCAGUGGGGAAUCAUGCACAAUGCGCGAAAGCGUGAUGCAGCAACGCCGCGUGGGGGAAGACGGGCCUUGGGUUGUAAACCCUUUCAGUUGGACGAAGCUUCGCGGUUAAUAGUCGGCUGGAGUGACGUACUUACACAAGAAGCCCGGCUAACUCGUAGCCACGCAGCCGUCGGUAA
RNAcentral lists this ribosomal RNA (507 nucleotides) under uncultured soil bacterium. Its description in RNAcentral is "bacterial SSU rRNA". It matches the Rfam family "Bacterial small subunit ribosomal RNA", at positions 26 to 523 of the family's 1533-position model. The record is from RNAcentral.